GCUAGGUUGGCAGAGCCUGGCUUAAUGCAAAAGGCCUAAACCCUUUACUCAGAGAUUCAAAUCCUCUACCUAGCA
Alligator mississippiensis (American alligator) is the source of this 75-nucleotide non-coding RNA. The record is from the annotation of a RefSeq genome assembly. Lineage: Eukaryota; Metazoa; Chordata; Crocodylia; Alligatoridae.